CCUACGGGAGGCAGCAGUAGGGAAUAUUGCGCAAUGGGGGAAACCCUGACGCAGCGAUGCCGCGUGAGUGAAGAAGGCCUUAGGGUUGUAAAACUCUUUCAGUGGUGAAGAUAAUGACGGUAACCACAGAAGAAGCUCCGGCUAACUCCGUGCCAGCAGCCGCGGUAAUACGGAGGGGGCUAACGUUGUUCGGAAUUACUGGGCGUAAAGCGCGCGUAGGCGGAUUAGACAGUUGGGGGUGAAAUCCCGGAGCUUAACUUCGGAACUGCCUUCAAUACUACUAAUCUAGAGUUCGGAAGAGGUGAGUGGAAUUCCUAGUGUAGAGGUGAAAUUCGUAGAUAUUAGGAAGAACAUCAGAGGCGAAGGCGGCUCACUGGUCCGAUACUGACGCUAAGGUGCGAAAGCGUGGGGAGCAAACAGGAUUAGAUACCCUGGUAGUCCACGCCGUAAACGAUGGAAGCUAGUUGUUGGACGGUUUAACUGUUCAGUGACACAGCUAACGCAUUAAGCUUCCCGCCUGGGGAGUACGGUCGCAAGAUUAAAACUCAAAUGAAUUGACGG
This 561-nucleotide ribosomal RNA is filed under the name uncultured bacterium. Its description in RNAcentral is "bacterial SSU rRNA". It matches the Rfam family "Bacterial small subunit ribosomal RNA", at positions 338 to 916 of the family's 1533-position model. The record is from RNAcentral.